Molecule: ribosomal RNA, 326 nt
Filed under: uncultured Actinomycetes bacterium
Lineage: Bacteria; Bacillati; Actinomycetota; Actinomycetes
Description: bacterial SSU rRNA
Rfam family: Bacterial small subunit ribosomal RNA
Source: RNAcentral
GAGAUACGGCCCAGACUCCUACGGGAGGCAGCAGUGGGGAAUAUUGCACAAUGGGCGCAAGCCUGAUGCAGCGACGCCGCGUGGGGGAUGACGGCCUUCGGGUUGUAAACCUCUUUCAGUAGGGACGAAGCGCAAGUGACGGUACCUACAGAAGAAGCACCGGCCAACUACGUGCCAGCAGCCGCGGUAAUACGUAGGGUGCGAGCGUUGUCCGGAAUUACUGGGCGUAAAGAGCUCGUAGGUGGUUUGUCGCGUUGUUCGUGAAAUCUCACAGCUUAACUGUGAGCGUGCGGGCGAUACGGGCAGACUGGAGUACUGCAGGGGAA